UUGUAGAAACUUAAAGGAAUUGGCGGGGGCCCGCACAAGCGGUGGAGCAUGUGGUUUAAUUCGACGCAACGCGAAGAACCUUACCAGGGUUUGACAUCCCCUGACAGCGUAUGAAAGUACGUUUUCUGCCUUCGGGCAGACAGGGAGACAGGUGGUGCAUGGUUGUCGUCAGCUCGUGUCGUGAGAUGUUGGGUUAAGUCCCGCAACGAGCGCAACCCCUACGUUUAGUUGCUAACGCGUGGAGGCGAGCACUCUAGACGAACUGCCGUUGACAAAACGGAGGAAGGUGGGGAUGACGUCAAAUCAUCAUGCCCCUUAUAUCCUGGGCCACACACGUGCUACAAUGGCCGGUACAGAGGGACGCGAAGCCGUGAGGCGGAGCAAAUCCCAAAAAGCCGGUCUCAGUUCGGAUUGCAGGCUGCAACUCGCCUGCAUGAAGUCGGAAUCGCUAGUAAUCGCAGGUCAGCAUACUGCGGUGAAUACGUUC
RNAcentral lists this ribosomal RNA (487 nucleotides) under Pelotomaculum sp. JGI 0000059-G16. Its description in RNAcentral is "bacterial SSU rRNA". It matches the Rfam family "Bacterial small subunit ribosomal RNA", at positions 891 to 1373 of the family's 1533-position model. The record is from RNAcentral. Lineage: Bacteria; Bacillati; Bacillota; Clostridia; Eubacteriales; Desulfotomaculaceae.